AUGGUUGCAAGGAUCAUAUGGAUACUAGACAUAUGCCACACGGAUUGGGAGUUGGACUUGUCAGCAGACAUCAUAGAGCAGAUGGCUGCAAACACUAGGGAGGUACAUAUAAAGAAAGGAAGGAUUUGGUGCUACAGUUUUGGAUGGCGACAACUGCAGAAUCUUCACAAGCUUCGAGUGAGUGAGCCCACAUCCCCUUGGCAGACAGGCAAAAUGGAUGAAUUCAUAGACAUGGUGAAGUUGGAGUUCCUUGACUUGACUGGGGACAGUACAAUUCAAGUUUUGCCAAGUAUGUCAGGGGCAACCAGUCUCAAGAUUUUGGUUCUCGACGGUUGUGUUGGAUUGGAACAUGUUGGCCCCGAAGGACUGCCACCCUCACUUGAAUCCUUCAGCUUGGAUGCACGUGCCACAGAGGAUCAUAAAAAGGAGGCCAAAAUCUCUCGUAUCUCUUUGGCUGGUUGUGCAAGAUUGGUGAACUUCAGAUUGUGUGGAUCACUUCCAAAUCUUGAGGACCUAGAUCUAUCAGGCACUUUGGUCAAAACACUUGACCUCAAAGAUCAGGUGGUUCAGGCCCCAAGUCUCCAACAAAUUAUUCUAUUGGGAUGUAUGCAGCUCCUUGCUAUUCUAUGGCCAGAAAAUGGUAUGCCAAAACAUAUAGUGUUACGCAUUGAUUCUUUAGUCUGUCGUGUUCAAGCAGAACUUCAUCAAGCAUAUGCUACUAUAAUGGACACAAGGUUUCUGCAGACUUUGGUAUUAGAGAGUAAUGUUGAUUUCUGUUGGAAGAGUACUAGGUUCCAUUUAAAUCUAUGUGUCCCUUGUAGCAACAAAGUUGAGGAGCAAAGCAAUAAGGAGAAGGCUGCCAUGUGUAGUAGCGGGCAGAUAAUGGGUCCUCCUCGACCAAAGUCAUUAAUACCCAAUGCUUACAUCACGUACAUGGAUGUCGUUGCUGACAACAUUACUGUUGAUGAUGGCUAUAAUAGUGCACCGCAGUUUCAGCCGUUGGGCUCCCAUGUGGAGAUUGGUGAUGGAAUUAGUUUCACUAGAAUGGAGAGCACACGAGCAAUCAAGGCUACCAUCUUUGUGAUGAACAAGGCCAAGUCGUUGCAUGCGCGCAACAAUUCUUCCAUUAAUACUGUCAUCCCUGAACAUAUGAUCUCCAUAGAAGGUAAUGUACUUACAUGGCGAAAUCUGAAAUCUUGUCAUGUGGUGAGAUGCCCCAAGAUGCAUACCCUCUUCAAUAUUGUCUGGGGAUUUUGCAAAUUUGAAGAACUAGUUGAGUUUUGGGCGGCUGAUCUCCUAUCGGCCCAUUGCAUUUGGAGCAAACAAAGGGUGUCGGAUUUUCAAGACAAUCGUUCCUUUGCGAAACUGCAGAGCAUACACCUGUUCUCCUGCCCAAGCUUGGAGAUUCUCCACAUCACCUUCUGUGGUGAUCUAAAGCAGGUGUUCCCCGUGGAGCCAGAGAUUCUGGCAAGAAUAGCUACAAGCCAGUGUAAAGGUGCAUUGGAGUUCCCAAACCUGAAGCAUAUAUACUUGCAUCAGCUCUUCAAGCUGCAACAGAUAUGCGAGGCCAAGAUGUUUUCUCCCAAGCUUGAGACCAUCAAGGUUAGGGGAUGCUGGGCUCUCAGGCGCCUCCCGGCUGUCGGUCGAGACAACCGUCCCGUCGUGGACUGCGAGAAGGACUGGUGGGAGAAGUUAGAGUGGGACGGGCUGGAAACCGGCCACGACCCUUCCCUCUUCAAGCCUCGCCACUCUGCGUAUUACAAGAAGCCCCUGCCUAGAGGCUCAGUUCCGUGGUGA
Molecule: ribosomal RNA, 1797 nt
Filed under: Triticum aestivum (bread wheat)
Lineage: Eukaryota; Viridiplantae; Streptophyta; Magnoliopsida; Poales; Poaceae
Description: partial small subunit ribosomal RNA
Source: RNAcentral